This 207-nucleotide ribosomal RNA is filed under the name uncultured delta proteobacterium. RNAcentral describes it as "partial 16S ribosomal RNA". It matches the Rfam family "Bacterial small subunit ribosomal RNA", at positions 568 to 774 of the family's 1533-position model. The record is from RNAcentral. Lineage: Bacteria; Deltaproteobacteria.
CGUGUAGGCGGUUUGCUAAGUCUGAUGUGAAAGCCCUGGGCUCAACCCAGGAAGUGCAUUGGAAACUGGCAGACUUGAAUACGGGAGAGGGCAGUGGAAUUCCUAGUGUAGGAGUGAAAUCCGUAGAUAUUAGGAGGAACACCGGUGGCGAAGGCGGCUGCCUGGACCGAUAUUGACGCUGAGACGCGAAAGCGUGGGUAGCAAACA